RNAcentral lists this long non-coding RNA (31077 nucleotides) under Capsicum annuum. Its description in RNAcentral is "long non-coding RNA (CANN_LNC006544)". The record is from RNAcentral. Lineage: Eukaryota; Viridiplantae; Streptophyta; Magnoliopsida; Solanales; Solanaceae.
CUCAUUUCAUUUUUCUUAUUAAUAUUCUUUAUAUUUUUCUUCUUUCUCUAGUUAAUUAUGUGUUAACUUACUUUACUUUUCUUCCCUUCUUUCUUUUGUUGAUCAUGUAUUAAUGAUCUUUACUUUUUUUACUUUGUAUGAAAUUUCAUGAUGGACCAAUAAGGCCCAUCUAUUUGUGUCAACCCCUUCAAUUUUUUCAAGUCAAAUUCAUUUUUGGAGAAAGAAGUUGUCGUCAAUGGAAAAAAAUGGGGUCAAAACCCAGUGAUGAAGUUGCAAAGAUUUGGAGACUUGAAAAGUCUCAAUUCUUUUGUUAUUAUUGUAUUUUUAUUUAUUUAUUUGCUUAUUCAUUCAUUUUGGGGCCUCGAAUCCAAAUUUGUAAAUUAAUAUAGGUGAAGCAAAUUUUUGGGCCUUCAAGGUCCAAAAACUAGUUUAGGACAGGUGAAGAUGGGCCAAAAGCUCAAAGUGAGUAGUUUAGGAUAGGUGCAAGUUGGCUAUAAGCCCAAAUUAGUUUAGGACAGGUUUUCAUGGGUUUGGGCCUAAAGGUCUAGCUCUUGUAAUUUUUCCCUUUCCCUUUUCUAUGUUUAUUUACUAUUUGUUUCUUCAAACCUAGAUAAAUUUCCUACUAAGUCGUCAAAUUAAUUUUACACAUGCUUUUUUCCUUUAUUAAUCACUUUAUUUCCAAAAAUCAACUUCUUUUUUUCAAAGUUAGUCAAAGGUGGUUAUCAAAUAGUAUGAACAAUCGCAAGUUAGCGAAUGCUUUAGGUUCCUUAAAAAACUUCCUAAAAUGUUAAUAAGAACCUCUUACCUGGGAUUUCUUGAAAAGUCUAGGUCUUUUCUGUUUUAAGACUUAGAAUUUUCUUUAAAAAGUUUUUUAAUUUCUUUUCAAAUAAAUUAAGUGGCAACACUGUAAUUUCUUAUUUCAAAUUUUCUUUAAGUUUUGAAAUGGUUUAAUAGUCAAAAACGGAUAAAAUAGAAAUGGUGACUUUGUUGAAGAGUUUAACUAGGUUCUGAUCAAAUAUUUGAAUUAGUUUCUUUGACUAACUUUUGUAGUGUUUAAACUGUUUGUGUACGUAUGUGUUUUAACUUUGAAAAAUUGAACUGUUGCAUUUCAUAGCAUGUUUCCCAUUUGAAAUAUAAAUUGUUUGGGGUUUUAUGGAUGUCCUAGCCCCUAUUCUUUAAUUCUAAAUCAACUAUUGGAAAUACGACGGUUUAUUGGCACGUUAGGCAUCCGAUGGCUGUUCAUAUUUCCAAACCCAAGUUGUCCGCUUGGGAACCUGGUCCAAACCUACUCUAGACACCUAGGAUAGAGCAAACCAAAAUCCUAUUUUUAGCCAUAAGCCUAUGUGACUCAAUACACAAGGUGAUAUUGGGCCCAUUAGAAAAUUUGCCCUGCGUCUAUUAUCUAUGAGCCAAUUACAGAUGAAUCAUAUUUAUGUGUUGAAGAAAUGUAUGUUAUUUUAAUCCAAUCCAUUAUCCUUUGAGGUAUAGAAAGACUUAUUUUUCUUGCUUUUGUGUAGCAAUGGUUCAACCGUACCCUUGUAAAAGCUUCAAGAUGGUUACCAGAACUGAUAACUUCCUGAAAGCAUGGUGAAUCCAUAUAAAUGCGAAAGAUAAAGAAAUUUUUAGUACGCAUAUCAGGAAUUUACCUUUGCUUAUUGAGAUGGACCCUUGGCCUGAAAUGAUCCAUCUAAUAACUAAAUUUUGGGAUGAUGACAACACAAUGUUCCACUUUGGGGAAGUUGAAUUUACUCCCACUAUUGAAGAAGUAAUGUCUUGUUUUGAGAGCAUUGAUAUGUGCAAAAAAAAAAAGAUUGCACCCGACAAUAACAUUCUAGUCCCCAUCGUAUGAAACUGUCAAAAGAUCAAGGAUUCCUUUUCAAUCAAUAAUAAUACCUGGUUAGGGGAAUGUGACAGGGAAAACAUACCUUUUCAUGAGUUGUAUCAAUGAUUUGGAAGGUAUAACAUUUUUGAGUAAUUCAGACAUAAAUUUUAAUCGGAGUCAAAAUGGAAAAAGAAAAGAGCAUUUGCUUUUGCGUUGGGCUUACUUGGAACUACGGUGUUACCACAAGGAAAAAAUGGCACCACUAAUCUAAGAGUUAUUAUGGUGACACACCCUCUUCUAUGGAAUGGAUUAUGGUACCACUAAGGUAUUCCACACCUUAGCCCUCGUGAUGAAAUAUAUCGGGCUUUGAGAAGAUGUUAAUAUAGGCACCAUUUCUUUCAACGAUGUAACCUUAUCUUACAAUGGUGGAUGAUGAAGCAUUUGUUAAAAGAUCCUAGAGUGGAGCAGUGAGACCCCAAAACAAGGAUAGAUUAUCUAUCAUCACAUGGCAUUUUAUUGUCUCUACAAAGGUUUAAGAAGAGAGAAACUUUAGAAUUUUCGCUCAAAAUUUUUGGGGAGUUAAGAGAUGACAACGUCUAGUGGUCUGUUAAAUAACUUCAUCCAAGGACGUACAUUACUCGAGGGGACAAAUGGCCUUUUUAGUACUUCUAGGUCUCAGGGGAACCCAUCCUUAUAUCCCGAUAGAGUCCUUAGGCAAUUUGAAAUCAAGCAAGAAACACUGUAAAUGACACCUAUGGUUAGAUUCGUCACUGAGUAUGAAGAAGGUAAAUCUUCACUCAAAAGUACAUAGUAGAUGGGUAGAGUAAAAAAAUACAAAGAAAGUCUCUUUUAUAUCGAGUAAGUGAUUGAAGAAGAAUCUUGUAGGAGCAUUGAUCCUGGGUCCAAAUGUGCCCACACAAAUUAUUAAUAUAGAAUCAAAAUAUCAGAUUCGACUCUACAGGCUUUAGGACGAAUUCCAAAAAAGUGAGAUUGCACACCAGAAGAUGAAUAUGGAGGAUGCCUCAACCAUACACUAAUUGAGAGAAGAUUUAAAGCGAGUUAGGCAAAAGGUUGAUAACGCUAGGUAGUGUUUGAUUGAUUUGGAUGAUUGUAUGGUUUUUUAGAUUGAUAGUGUAGGGAAGAUGACUAAAGAAAGUAAAGUGCAGUUAUGUGGGAGUUACCUAAUCAUCAACAGAUAUCACAUAUAGAAAGAGGUGGAUAAAUCUAAGAGGGAAAGUGCCAAUAAAGAAACAUCUAGGAGCUAGUUUUACUAUCCCCUGAGCAGGACCUUGUUCUUUCUUUCAUGUUAUUUUCUCAUUCCCUAAAUAUUGUAUCCCUUUUAUGCCACUUUUGUAACCAUUUGUGUCCUUUUCAUAUAUCUAUGGAGAUUUGGGGGGGAUAAUGGAUUAUUUUUAAAAGGCAUAUAUUUUCUUCAAAAAUCAUUAGGACAACCCUUAGCUCAAAAGGGUCGCCCCAAGUAGGAUAUGGCUUAUUAUAAUGUUGUUGUAUGAUAUAACUAAAACUUGGCUUUCCUCAACUCCAAAAGAAAGAACCUAUCUAGAAAGGUGGUAGCAAACUCCUCCUGUUUUAUAGCCCUGCAUCUGCGACCCUAUUUUUCUUCCACUACUUAAACCAUAUAUGAGCUACAUCCUGCAACUGAUAUAAAACCAACUCAACACUCUCACUAGAGGUUACCCUCAUAAUAUAUGUUACCUUCUGCACCAUGUCAAGGAAUUCCUGUGAGUCCUCUUCAGACUUAGACCCUAUAAAUGAUGGAGGAUUCAUUCGAUUGAAGUCCUGAAUUCUAUAUGCAAUAGUAUUGGCCACUGGGUUGGCCUGAACAACAACUGGGCGUUCAUUUUUGAGAGGCAUGUACUAUAAAUAGAAGGGAAAAUUGGAUUAGAUAGAGAGUUUAACUUGAGCUUAUGCUCAUUUGCAUGACAUGAAUACUAAAAGAAGGGAAACUUUUCCUAAAAAUGCCUUAUAGCCUCUUUUCCAUAAGUGUGGCGUCCUACACACCCAUGCACAAGGCUCUAUUUGAAGUGACUUUCAGACUCCCUAGAAUCUUUAGAAACUUAGGCUCUGAUACGAAGUUUGUAAUGCCCCGAGUCUAUACCCUAGACGUCACACAGUGCUUACAAUCUUGAAGGACCACAACCUAACCCAUGACUGGUACCUCUGUGAGAACUAAUUUAUGAUAUUGAAAUCGGAAGAUGACUAACGAGAGUAAAGUGCAGUUAUGUGGGAGUUACCUAAUCAUCAACAGAUAUCACAUAUAGAAAGAGGUGGAUAAAUCUAAGAGGGAAAGUGCCAAUAAAGAAACAUCUAGGAGCUAGUUUUACUAUCCCCUGAGCAGGACCUUGUUCUUUCUUUCAUGUUAUUUUCUCAUUCCCUAAAUAUUGUAUCCCUUUUAUGCCACUUUUGUAACCAUUUGUGUCCUUUUCAUAUAUCUAUGGAGAUUUGGGGGGGAUAAUGGAUUAUUUUUAAAAGGCAUAUAUUUUCUUCAAAAAUCAUUAGGACAACCCUUAGCUCAAAAGGGUCGCCCCAAGUAGGAUAUGGCUUAUUAUAAUGUUGUUGUAUGAUAUAACUAAAACUUGGCUUUCCUCAACUCCAAAAGAAAGAACCUAUCUAGAAAGGUGGUAGCAAACUCCUCCUGUUUUAUAGCCCUGCAUCUGCGACCCUAUUUUUCUUCCACUACUUAAACCAUAUAUGAGCUACAUCCUGCAACUGAUAUAAAACCAACUCAACACUCUCACUAGAGGUUACCCUCAUAAUAUAUGUUACCUUCUGCACCAUGUCAAGGAAUUCCUGUGAGUCCUCUUCAGACUUAGACCCUAUAAAUGAUGGAGGAUUCAUUCGAUUGAAGUCCUGAAUUCUAUAUGCAAUAGUAUUGGCCACUGGGUUGGCCUGAACAACAACUGGGCGUUCAUUUUUGAGAGGCAUGUACUAUAAAUAGAAGGGAAAAUUGGAUUAGAUAGAGAGUUUAACUUGAGCUUAUGCUCAUUUGCAUGACAUGAAUACUAAAAGAAGGGAAACUUUUCCUAAAAAUGCCUUAUAGCCUCUUUUCCAUAAGUGUGGCGUCCUACACACCCAUGCACAAGGCUCUAUUUGAAGUGACUUUCAGACUCCCUAGAAUCUUUAGAAACUUAGGCUCUGAUACGAAGUUUGUAAUGCCCCGAGUCUAUACCCUAGACGUCACACAGUGCUUACAAUCUUGAAGGACCACAACCUAACCCAUGACUGGUACCUCUGUGAGAACUAAUUUAUGAUAUUGAAAUCAUAAGCGAAAGUAAAAACUAAAAUGCCAUAAGGUUCUCAAAAUACUGAAAUUAUAAGUGAACGUACUGAUAAUAGCAUCUAAAAAACUGAAAAUUGACAAUGCUAUUCUGAAAGCCUCUAACUGUCUGAAUAUGGAGUUGAUGGGAUAAAUCCCCAACUAACUCCGACUACUGAACUAACUGAAAUACUGAAAUGCUAAAAUAAAAUGUUAUACUCGCAGGAUGAGGACUCACUACUAUAACAGCUACUGAUAGCCUAAGCUGCUAAGUAUAGUCAGGAACCUGAGCAUCCAAACCUAUGAUAUGAGACAUCAUAGCACAAAGAAAGAGUAUGCAUCAGUAUGUGGGAUGUACUAGUAUGCUAUGUGAGGAAGGCUGAUAUACAUGGGUUCAUAUGCAUGAGAUGAUAACUGAUUGAAUAAACAUCAUGGAAUAACUGAAUAAGAGUACAUGCAAAAACUGUAUCUACUGAUCGUGUUGAAUAUGCAAUACUGUGCAUAUAACCACUGCCUGAAUUAGACUGAUACUGAAGUACUGAGUUUUGGUAAUGAAUACUAAUAACUAAGGUUUAUAUUGAUACUGAAGUACUGAAUUUUGAUGGCUAAGUAACUAUUAACUAAUAGCCAUGGUUCUGUAGAACUAUGUGAGUUCUUUACUGAAUUCUGAGACUGAAUACUGAUUUUUGAGUAUUAAAUACGGAAACUAUAACUGUGGGAGUGCUCAUCUAACCAACAUACCCCAAUUAUAAACUGAGUUGGGGUCCAACCUGUAACCCCAGUUGAAAGGGUGUUAGCAGCUUUCCAAGGGAUACUAACAAUAUUGUGUCAACCCUAAUCUGGCAGAAAGACUCAUGAAAUUUAUAUAUGAUUGUGUCAACCCUAUUCUGGCAGAAUGGAGACUUACCUUACGCUGGCUAUGUAGUUCUGUAACACAGGUAAUACUACUAAGGGUCAAACCCUCUGCUGGAAGGAAUGCCCGCAUCCCCGGAUUUACUCGGUGUUGAAUCCUACUCCCAACUAAAUAGACAUUGAACUGGUCACAAGACUGCACUAGGCUUGACUGAACUAAUACUGAUCAUGUUGACUGACUAAACUGGAUUGAGUUCUGUAAAUGAUUGAGUACUACCGCUCAUGACAUUAAUGAGAUUAUUUUGUAGCUACUGUAAUUCUAGGUAAACAGUUAGAUUGUUGGAUAUUGAAUACCCCUAGGACUCGAUAACAUCAAUAGUAAAACAUGGAAAAAUCUUGAAGGCAUUACAUUAGUUACUUGUCCACCAUGCAUUCAUUUAGAUAUUUUGUCAAACACUUGAGAGGCAUGAACUUGCACAUGAAUGGGACCACAUAAUAACAUGUCAUGAAUUCACUACUCAAUUUACAUAGGCAUUCUAUCAAACACUUAGGGAGCAUAAUUAAUACACAUGGAAUUCAUCAAGAUAUAAACAUCAUGGCUACAACACUCAACUUGCAAUUCAAGGGUUUAACAUGAGUGUCACAUAAUUUGGACUACUUGCAAAUUAAGUCACUUGAAACUUGUAACGAGUAUUCGUUUGAAAACCACACAUCAAUACAUACAUGAACACAAUCCAAUUCAAACAUGUAAAUCUUGAAAUUAAUAAAUUUGUAGUUUAAAAAGAGGUUCAUGGACUACAAGGGUGGAAGGAUACCCAAGGAUGAACACCUAACAUACCUUGAUUAUUAAUUUCAUGAAAAUUAUGAUGUGUUCUUGAGACUUGAUUCUUGAUCUUGAUGAACCUAGGGCUUGUUCUUGAGAGGGUUUUGAGAAUAAUGAGUGUAUUUAGCCCUUUAGGAUAUUAAAUCUCGUAUUUUCGCUGAAUUGGGUGAGGGUAAAAGGACCCAAAAUGCCCUUGGAAACUCAAAAUUCAACGCACAAAAAUUGCCCAACGAUGCGAUUGAAGAUGCGCCACAUUAAUAAGAUCAAUGCGAUUAUCGAUUCUUCGCAUUGAUGGGUACAAUGUGGUAGCCAAUGCGAUGCGUUAAUAUCGAGUUGCCUUGCUAUUUUUCCCAUCCAAACAUGACCCAAACAAAAUAUAAAAAUUCUGAAACUCACCCAAUAUGACCUAUUGACAUCCCUGAUCAUGAAUCAACUUGAAAAUCAAUAUUCUAAGGUCGGAAAGAUCAAAAACAAGAUCAUCCAAUUUAGAAGGCUAAAAUGAUUCUAAAUAUCAACACUUAGCUAAUAUUUUCUAAGUCUGGAACCUCUUUUGGCAUGCUUUAUAUGACUGAAACAACUGGAAUUUUGUGGGGUCUUACAAUAUGUCCCCUUUGGGAACAUUCAUACUCGAAUAAGAUUGACUAAACUGAGAGUAUCUGAGGAAUUAUACUUACACUGACAUACAUAACUGAAGCAUGACUGAAUUCUAAAGACAUGACACAUAACUGAACUUUUUGUGAAUGCAUGAAUUAUAUGAGAAUGUUAUGCAGCUGUACAUGGAAUAAAUUAAAUCUAAGGAAAACUGUUACCUUAGGCUGAGUUUGAGUUUGUGGAGAAGAGGUGAGCAUACUUGGUUCGCAUGUCUGCUUCUUCUUCUAGAGUAGCUCCCUUAACGAACAGAUUCCGCCAAAGAAUUUUGACAAAAGGAACUUUUUGUUCCUUAGUCUGCAAAUCUGAUGAUCAAGGAUUUCGAAUGGAAAUUCCUCAUAAGAGAAACUGUUCUGAAUAUCUACACUCUCUAUAGGGACUACAACUGUUGGGUCACCAAUGCUCUUCUAUAGCAAGGAGACAUGAAACACUUGGUGCACUGAUGCUAAGUCUAUAGGAAACUCAAGUUCAUAAGCUACCUUACCGAAAUGACUAAGAAUCCUAUAAGCACCAACAUAUCGGGGACUAAACUUCCCCUCUUGCCAAAUCUCAUCACUCCCUUCAUGGGAGAGAUUUCCAAAUACAUAAAGUCACCAAUCUCAAACUCGAGAUCUUUUCUUCUCACAACUGCAUACGAUUUUUGUUAGUUCUGAGCUAUCUUAAGGCUCUCUCUGAUUAACUGCACUUUCUCUAAGGUAUCAAACACCAAUUUAGGCCCUACUAAUAUGGCCUCACCUACUUUAAACCAACCAAUGGGAGAUCUACAUCUCCUAACCUAAAGUGUCUCAAACGGAGCCAUCUGAAUGUUGGAAUGAUAGUUGUUAUUAUACACGAACUCAAUCAAAGUUAAAUGGUCAUCCCAACUGCCCUUAAAGUCAACAACACAUGCUUUCAAUAUAUCUUCUAAGGUCUGAAUGGUCCUUUCUACUUGACCAUCUAUCUGAGGGUGAAAGGUCGUACUGAGGUGAACUUGGGUACCAAGAACCUUUUGGAAGGCUUUCCAAAAAUAAGAGAUGAACUCCGUACCUCUAUAUAAAAUGAUAGACAAUGAGACAUCGUGCAAUCUGAACAACUCUCUAACAUAUAUCUUGGCAUAAUCCUCAGCUGAAUAAGAGGUAUGAACUAGCAAGAAAUGGGCUGAUUUGGUCAUUCUGUCCACAAUAACCUAAAUCAAAUCUUGUUGAUGACGAGUAUGAAGAAAACCUGUCACGAAGUCCAUGUUCACUUUCUCCCACUUCCAUGUGGGAAUAUUAAACUCCUGUAUAGACCCACUAGGCUUUUGAUGCUCAAUUUUAACAUGCUGACAUGUAGAGUACUUAGCCACAAACUCUGUAAUGUCUCUCUUCAUCCCACUCCACCAAUAGACUUGCCGCAAGUCAUAGUACAUCUUAGUGGCCCCUGGGUGAAUUGAGUAACGCGCACCAUGCUCUUCUGCAAGAAUCCACUGCCUCACGCCAUCCAUACAUGGCACACACAGUAUACCUUGGCAACGCCAGACACCAUCUCCCCCUUAGGAGAAAACCUCUACUUUCUAAUCUCUGACUGACUCUUUUAGCUUAACUAAAUUGGUAUCUCUGUCCUGCUUCUCUUUUACUUUGGUAACCAAAGAUGAUUUCAAACUAUUCUGCACCCAAACACUACCCUCAGCUGAAUCAACCAAACAAAAAUCUAGUCUAGCAAGUUGAUUAACUUCCUAAACUAAAUUUUUCUUACCAACACUACCCAUGGACAAUCUACUGAGAGCAUCAGCCACUAUAUUUGCCUUGCCUAGGUGAUACAGAACACUCAUGUCAUCUUCUUUCAACAAUUCUAACCACCUUCUCUAACGCAAAUUCAAUCUUUCUGAGAAAAUACAUACUGUAAGCUUUUGGGGUGUGUGAAUACAUCAACAUGCACCCCAUAUAAAUAGUACCUCCAAAUCUUUAAGGCAAACAUAACAGCUGCUAACUCUAGAUCAUGGGUGGGAUAAUUCUUUUCAUGGGGCUUAAUUUGUCUGGAGGCAUAGGCGACAACCUUACUUUUCUUUAUCAAAACACAUCCCAAAUCAACUCUGGAUGUAUCAUAAUACACAACAAACCUAUCUGAACCGUCGGGCAAAGUCAAAGUUAGGGUUGUAGUAGGUCGAGUAUUAAACUCCUGAAAACUCUUCUCACAGGAAUCUGACCACUAAAAUAUGACUUUCUUUUGAGUCAAUCUGGACAUAAGGGAUGCAACAGAUGAAAAUCUUUCAACAAACCAUCAGUAAUAGCCAGCCAAACCCAAAAAACUCCUGAUAUCUAAUAGAGAGAUGGGUCUGAGCCAAUUUCUCACUAUAUCAAUCUUUUGAGGAUCAACUCUAAUGCCAUUACCGAAAACUAUAUGGCUAAGAAAAGCUACUGUCCUUAGCUAAAAUUUCCAUUUACUGAAUUUUGCUAACAACUGGUGGGCUUUGAAGGUCUGUAAUUCUAUUCUGAGAUGGUCUACAUGAUCAUGUUCACUGUAGGAGUAGACAAGAAUGUCAUCUAUGAAAACUAUGAUGAACAUGUCUAAGUACUACUUGAACACUCUGUUAAUCAAGUCCAUAAAAGCUAUUGGGGCAUUGGUAAGACCAAAUAACAUGACUAGACAUUUGACGUGACCAUACCGAGUUUUGAAAGUUGUUUUCAGAAUGUCACAUUCUCUGACUCUGAGUUGAUGAUAGCCUUAUUUGAGGUCUAUCUUAGAAAAGUAACUGGCACCCUGAAGUUGGUCAAAUAAGUCAUCGAUUCUAGGAAGUGGGUACUCAUUCUUGAUGGUGACUUUGUUCAACUAACGGUAGUUAAUACAUAUACUUAGAGAACCAUCUUUCUUAUGCACCAAUAGAACUAGUGCCCCACGGGAAAACACUGGGCUUGAUGAACCCCUUAUCUAGGAGAACUUUCAACUGCUCUUUUAAUUCUUUAUGUACAGUUGGAUCCAUUCUAUAUAGCAGAAUAGAGAUAGGCUGAGUGUCUAUAAGAAAGUCUAUUUUAAAGUCAAUUUUUCUUUCGGGAAGAACUCUGGAAAGAUCUUUAGGGAACACAUCUGAAAAUUCACCUACUACUAGAACUGACUCAAGAUUAGGGGUCUCUAAACUAGAGUCUUUAAAUCAAAUGAGAUGGUAGACACACCCUUUGGAUAUCAUUUUUCUCGCUCUAAGGUAUGAAACAAGCUGACCCCUAAGUGCUAAAGUAUUACCCCCUCCAUUCUAGGACAGGUUAAUUGGGGAACUGAAAAUGGACAACUCUAUUUCAACAAUCAAUUGAGGCAUAGCAUGAAUGAAGCUAAUCUAUGCCGAGAAUGACGUCAAAAUUUGUUAUCUCUAACUCUACUAAGUCUGCUGAAUUAACUUUCUAAAAUACCAUAAUCAGACAGUUUCUGUAUACCCGAUGGGCUAUGAUAGACUUACCCACUGGGGUAGAGACUGAGAACGUCUCUGCUAAGAUUUCAGGACUGAUUCUAAAGACAACAGCUAUAUAAGGAGUUACAAAAGACAAAAACUCCUGGAUCUAGUAAAGCAUAAACAUGUAAAUGAUAAACUUGUAAUGUACCAGUGACCAUAUUAGGAGAACUUUCCUGAUCCUUUCUGGAAUAAAGUGCAUAGAGUCUAUUUUGUAGUUGCCCACUGGUGGCACUAGAAGCAUCACCCUGCUAAGACGGGCGAUCAGACUGAGCUGGGGGAUGAUUAUGCUGACUCUACGAACCCACCUGAGGAUAUUCCCUGACCCUAUGACCUAGCUUGCCAUAUCUAAAACAUACAUCACUGCCAGCUCUGCAGUUAUCCUAAUGGUUUUUGCCAUGCUUCUGGCAAAGUGGAUUUGUUUGGGAACUGCUAACACUACCCUAAGACUUAGAGCCUAGUUCCCCAUCCUUAUUAAUAUUUUUGAAUUUAGGCACCAAAGAAAUAGCUAAGGAUAGAGAUUGAACUAAAAAUUUUGGGUGGAACUGGGGAUGAUUACCACCCUCUGACAUAGGCUGAGUAAAGGUGAUGCUACUUGUUCUAGCGGUUUUGUUCUCCCUCUCUUUCUCUUUAGUCUUCUGCUCCUCUAUCUUUUGAGCAUGGACCAUCAACCUAGCCAAGUCCAUCUCCUUAAUCAUUAUUGUGGUCCUAUAUUCCUUCACCACACUAUCAGACACACCGAACACAAACUUACUCAUAUUAGAUCUGCUAUCAGCUACCAUAUAAGGAGCAUAUCUAGAUAACUAAGUAAUACUCAUUCACUGUCAUGCUGCCCUGCUUCAAGUUAAUGAACUCUAGAACCUUGGCUUUCCUUAACUCCAAUGGAAAGAACCUAUCGAGAAAGGCGAUAGAAAACUCCUCCCAUUCUAUAGGCCCUGCAUCUGCGACCCUAUCUGCCUUCCACUACUUAAACCAUGUAUGAGCUACAUCCUACAACUGAUAUACAAUUAACUCAGCACUCUCACUAGCGGUUACCCCCAUAAUAUUUGCUACCUUAUGCACCAGUCAACGGAGUCUGAGUUUGCAGAGAAAAAGUGAGUAUACUUGGUUCGCAUGUCUGCUUCUAUUUCCCAAGUAGAUCCCUCAACGGACUAAUUCCGCCAAAGAAUUUUGACCAAAGAAACUUCUUUAUUCCUUAGUCUACGAAUCUGCCGAUCAAGUAUUUUGAUUGGGACUUUCUCACAAGAGAGACUGUUCUGAAUAUCUAAACUCUCUAUAGGGACUACAAUUGUUGGGUCACCAAUGCACUUCUUUAGCAAGGAGACAUGAAACACUAGGUGCACUGACACUAAGUUUGCAGGCAACUCAAGCUCAUAAGCUACCUUACCAAAAUGACUAAGAAUCCUAUAAGGACCAACAUAUCAGGGGAUAAUCUUCCCCUUCUUGUAAAAUCUCAUCACUCCCUUUAUUGGAGAGAUUUUUAAAUACAAGAAGUCACCAAUCUAAAACUUAAGAUCUUUCCUUCUCACAUUUGCAUACGAUUUCUAUUGCCUCUGAGCUGUCUUAAGCCUCUAUCAGAUUAACUGCACUUUCUCUAAGGCAUCAAACACCAAGUAAGGCCCUACUACUGUGGCCACACCUACUUCAAACCAACCAAUGGGAGAUCUACAUCUCCUAACAUAAAGUAUCUCAAAUAGAGCCAUCUGAAUACUGGAAUGAUAGUUGUUAUUAUACUCGAAUUCAAUCAAAGGUAAGUCGUCAACCCAACUGCCCUUAAAGUCAACAAUACUCGCUCUCAACAUAUCUUCUAAGGUCUGAAUGGUCCUUUCUGCUUGACCAUCUAUCUGAGGAUGAAAGGUUGUACUGAGGUGAACUUAGGUACCAAGACCCUUUUAGAAUGCUUUCCAAAAAUAAGAGGUGAAUUGCGUACCUCUAUCUAAAAUGAUGGACAAUGAGACACGGUACAAUCUGAACAACUCUCUAACAUAGAGCUUGGCAUAAGCCUCGGCUAAAUAAGAGGUAUAAACUAGCAAGAAAUAGGCUGAUUUGGUCAUCCUGUCCACAAUGACCCAAAUCGAAUCAUGCUGACAACGAGUACGAGGCAAACCUGUCAUGAAGUCCAUGUUCACUUCCUCCCACUUCCAUUUGAGAAUAAUGAACUCCUGCAUAGACCCACUAGACUUCUGAAUCUCAAUUUUAACCUGUUGACACGUAGAGCACUUAGCUACAAACUCUGCAAUGUCUCUUUUCAUCCCAUUCCACCAAUAGACUUCCCAUAAGUCGUGGUACAUCUUGGUUGCCCCUGGGUGAAUCAAGUAAUGCACACCAUGAUCUUCUGUAAGAAUUUGCUACCUCACACCAUCCACACAUGGCACACAUAGUUUACCCUGGCAAUGUAGCACACUAUCCUAACAGACUGACUCUUUCAGCAUAACCAAAUUAGGAUCUCUUUCCUGCUUUUCAUUUACUUUGGAAAACAAAGAUGAUUUCGAACUGCUCUGCACUCAAACACUACCCUCAGCUGAAUCAAACAAAGGAACACCUAGUCUAGGAAGUUGAUGAACUUCCUGAACUAACUUUUUCUUACCAUCCUUAACGUGAGCAACACUACCCAUAGACAAUCUACUAAGAGCAUCAGCCACUACAUUGGCCUUGCCUGGGUGAUACAGAACACUCAUAUCAUCAUCUUUCAACAAUUCUAACCACCUCCUCUGACAUAAAUUCAAUUCUUUCUGAGAAAAUACAUACUAUAAACUUUUAUUGUCAGUGAACACAUCAACAUGCACCCCAUACAAAUAGUGCCUCCAAAUUUUUAAGGCAAACACAACAGCUACUAACUCUAGAUCAUGGGUGGGAUAAUUCUUUUCAUGGGGCUUAAGCUGUUUAGAGGCAUAGGCCACAACCUUACCUUUCAUCAUCAAAAUACGUCCCAAACCAACUAUGGAUGUAUCAUAAUACACAACAAACCCAUCUGAACCAUCGGGCAAAGUCAAAACUGGGGAUAUAGUGAGUCGAGUCUUCAACUCCUAAAAUCUAUUCUCAUUAGAAUCUAACCACUGAAAUUUGACUUUCUUUUGAGUUAAUAUGGACAUAGGGGAUACAAUUGACGAAAAUCCUUCAACAAACCAUUGGUAAUAGCCAGACAAACCCAAGAAACUCCUAAUAUCUAUCGGAGAGAUAGGUCUGGGCCAGUUUCUCACCACUUUGGUCUUUUGAGAAUCAACUCCAACUCUAUCACCGAAAACUAUGACCAAGGAAAGCUACUAUCCUUAGCCAAAAUAUGCAUUUACUGAAUUUAGAGAACAACUGGUGGGCUCUGAGGGUCUGUAAUUCUAUGCUGAGAUGGUCUGCAUGAUCAUGUUCAUUGCGGGAGUAGAAAAAAAUGUCAUCUAUGAAGACUAUAAUGAACAUGUCUAAGUACUACUUGGACACUCUGUUCAUCAAGUUCAUAAAAACUACUGGGGCAUUGGUAAGACCAAAUAACAUGACUAGAAAUUUGAAGUAACCAUAUCGAGUUUUGAAAGUUGUUUUCGAAAUGUCACAUUCUCUGACUCUAAGUUAAUGAUAACCUGAUCUGAGGUCUAUCUUAGAAAAGUAACUGGCACCCUGAAGUUGGUCAAAUAAGUCAUCGAUUCUAGGAAGUGGUUGCUUGUUCUUGAUGGUGACUUUGUUCAACUAACGGUAGUCAAUACAAAUUCUAAGAGAACUAUCUUUCUUAUGUACAAAUAAAACUGGUGCACCCUACGGGGAAAUACUAGGCCUAAUGAACCCUGUAUCUAGGAGAUUUUUCAACUGCUCUUUUAAUUCUUUAAGUUCAAUUAGAGUCAUUCUAUAUGGAGGAAUAGAGAUAAGCUAAGUGUCUAUAAGAAGGUCUAUUCUCAAGUCAAUUUCCCUUUUGAGAGAAACUCCGAGAAGAUCUUCUGCAUGAAAGACAUACUCGUCCAGGGGAUCUGCCUGAACAGGCGGAGGUAUUGGCUAGCUUCCAGUUCUUCUUCUAUUGGUCUUUUUAGAAGUAAUAGUCUAUAAACAAAAGGGAAAAUUAGAUUAGAUAGAGAUUUUAACUUGAGCUCAUGCUCAUUCGCACGACAUAAAUACUGAAAGAAGGGAAACUUUUUCUAAAAAUGCCUCAUAGCCUCUUGUCCCUAAGUGUGACACGUUACACACCCAUGCAUAAGACUCUAUUUGGUGCGGCUUUCAGACUCCCUAGGACUCUUUAGAACCUUAGGCUCUGAUACAAAGUUUGUAAUGCCCCGAGUCUACAACCUGGAUGUCACACGGUACUUACAAUCCCGAAGGACCACAACCUAACCCAUGACUAGUACCUACUAAAAACAUAAGUGGAAGUAAAAACUAAAAUUCCAUAAGGUUCUCAAAAUACUAAAAUAAUAAGUGAACGUAAAACUAAAGUGCCAUAAGUUUCUCAAAAUACUGAAAUAACAAGUGAACGUACUGAUAAUAGUAUCUAAAAAACUAAAAACUGAAUGUGCUAGUCUGAAAGCCUCUAACUGUCUGAAUAUGGAGUUGAUGGGAUAAGUCCCCAACUAACUCCGACUACUGAACUAAAUAAAAUACUGAAAUGCUAAAAUAAAAUGUUAUACUCGCAGGAUGAGGACUCACUACUAUAACAGCUACUGAUAGCCUAAGCUGCUAAGUACAGUCAGGAACCUGAGCAUCCAAACCUAUGAUAGGAGACAUCAUAGCUCAAACAAAGAGUAUGCAUCAGUAUGUAGGAUAUACUGGUAUGCUAUGUGAGGUAGGACGGUAUACAUGGGUUCAUAUGCUUGAGAUAAUAAUUGACUGAAAGAACAUCAUAGAAUAACUAAAUAAGAGUACAUGAAAAAACUGUAACUAUUGAUCGUGCUGAAUAUGCAAUACUGUGCAUAUAACCUUUGCCUAAAUUAGACUGAUAUUGAAGUACUGAGUUCUGGUAACUAAAUACUAGUAAUUGAGGUUUAGACGAAUACUGAAGUACUGGAUUUUGAUGACUAAGUAACUGUUAACUGAUAGCCAUGGUUCUGUAGAACUAUCAAAGUUCUUUACAAAAUUCUAAGACUGAAUACAGAUUUCUAAGUAAUAAAUACUAAAACUGUAACUGUAGGAGUGCCCAUCUAACUGAUAUAACCCAAUUAUAAAUUGAGUUAGGGUCAAACCUGUGACCCCACUUGGAAGGGUGUAAGCACUUUGCCAAGGGAUACUAACAAUGUAGUGUCAACCCUAAUUUAGCAGGAAGACUCAUGAAUUGUAUAUAUGAUUGUGUCAACCCUAAUAUGGUAGGAGGACGACUUACCCUACGUUUGUUAUGUAGUUCUGUAAUACAGGGAAUGCUACUAAGGGUCAAACCCUCUGCUGGUAGGAAUUCCCCUAUCCCUGGGUUCGCUCGGUGCUAAAUCCUACUCCCAACUAAAUAAAUACUGAACUGAUCACUAGACUAUACUAGGAUUGACUAAACUGAUACUGAUCAUAUUGACUAACUGAACUGGACUGAGUUCACUAAGUUCUGUAACUAACAGAGUACUACUGCUUGUGACAUUACUGAGAUCAUUUUGUAUCUACUGUAAUUCCAGGUAAAUAGCUAGAUUGUCGGGUAUUGAAUACCCCUAAAACUCGAUAACAUCAAUAGUAAAACAUGGCAAAAUCUUGAAGGCAUUACAUUAGUUACUUGUCCAGUAUGCAUUCAUUUAGACAUUUUGUCAAACACUUGAGAGGCAUGAACUUGUACAUAAAUGGGACCACAUGUAACAUGUCAUAAAUUCACUACUCAAUUUACAUAGGCAUUCUAUCAAACACUUGGGGAGCAUAAUUAAUGCACAUAGAAUUCAUCAAGAUAUAAAUAUCAUGGCUACAACACUCAACUUGCAAUUCAAGGGUUUAACAUGAGGGUCACAUAAUUCUACAUACUUGCUAAUUAAUUCACUUGAAACUUGUAAUGAGUGUUGGUUUGAAAAUCAUAAAUCAAUACAUACAUAAAGACAAUCUAAUUCAAACAUAUAAAUCAUGAAAUCAAUAAACUUGUAAAAAGGGGUUCUUAGACUCCAAAGGUGGAAGGAAACCCAAAGCUGAACACCUAACAUACAUUGAUUAUUAAUUUCGUGAAAAUUGUGAUGAGUUCUUAAGACUUCAUUCUUGAGCUUGAUGAACAUAGGGUUUGUUCUUGAGAGGUUUUCGAGAAUAAUGAGUGUAUUUAGCCCUUUAAGAUAUUAAAUCUCGUGUUUUAGCUGAAUUAGGUGAGGGGAAAAGGACCUAAAUUCCCUUGGAAACUCAAAAUUCAACACACAAAAACUGCCAAGUGACGUGAUUAGUGACACGAUGUGUCGAUGGGAUUGAUGCAAUCACCGAUGCAUCGCGUCGAUGAGUGCAAUGUGGUAGACAACGCGACGCAUCAAUAUCGCGUUGGCUUGCUAUUUUGCCCAUCCAAACAUGACCCAAACGAAAUCCAAAAAUUAUCUAGCUCACCCAAUAUGACCUAUUGAUAUCCCUGAUCAUGAAUCAACUUAAAAAUUGACAUUUUAAGGUUGGAAAGAUCGAAAACAAGAUCAUCCAAUUUCAAAGGAUAAAAUGAUUCUAAGUCUUAACACUUGGCUGAAAUUUUCUAAGUCUGGAACCUAUUUUGGUAUGCUAUAUAUGACUGAAACAACUGGGAUUUUGCGAGGUAUUACAGGAUCAGCUCGCCUAUGAUGAAAAAAACUCUAUGUAGUUACUUCUUGUACAAUAUCUUGCAUUGUUUAUCAUGUAUGUGAUCUAACACAUCUGCCUUUGAGUUAUUUUACUUUGCAGAUAAUAGAAACCUACUUUAUGUUGAAAUAAGUUGGUUAAACAUCCUUACUUCACCUAGUCAAAAGCUAUUAAAGUCCCAUCCCCUAGCCAUAAGUCAAAUUUAACUAAAAGUGAUGAGGAUAACACACUAGCCAUUGGGACAAUAUGAUAACAUAGCAAAGCAAGACAAUUGUUAAACUUGCGAGAAAACUGGAAAUGCUCCAAGAGGAGAUGAAUUAUACUAGAGAUUUGGCUAAUAUGGCUAUCACCAUCAAUGCCCCUGUCCUAAGAGGACACAGGCUUCCACUCCAAAUUUCUCCCCUUAAUACUCCUAUUCUCGAAAAUCAUCCAACUAGCAUAUCAUCCGCCUCCGCUUUCCAAUUGCCCAUAGAUCUCAGAAUCAAUAAUCCACUAGUUCGUGUUGGCUAAAACACCAAUCGACAAAACAACCCAAAUGUUUAUCAUCAACAUAUUCCAUCCCUAAAUCAGCAAAAUCUAUCUCCAAAUCCACAAAAUCCACCUCUAAAUCCAUAAAAUCCAUCUCCAAAUCCAUAAAAUCCAUUUUCAAAACCAAAAAAUCAUUUUCAACUCUACAAAAUUCGUCCUUAAUUCUAUAAAAUCCCUCUCAAAUUCCACCAGACCACUCUCAAAUUCCAUAAAUUAUCCUUAAUCUCCAAAAUAUUUUCCCUACCUACCACUCAACCUCCUCUCAUCCUCAAAAUCAAGCUACCAUCUUAAAUUCUUCUUAUGUCAUUACAUCUCCUAACAUUUCCAACACCUUUUCUAAUUUUGAGGUAGACCAUUAUGAGUAGAAAGAAAGGAAUAUAGGAUAAAGCAUGAAAAUAAAUUUCUGGCCAUGAAUGAAGAGAUUAUGAGAAUCAAGAAAUCUCAAGGGAUAGGGGAUAGUGAUGGUUUGGAGUGCGAUAAUCUGUGUGUUCACCCUGGUGUAGAUUACUAGAAAGGUACAAGAUCCCUAAACUCAAAGUGUACAACGACACUAGAAAUCAAUUGGCUCAUCAAAGAAGGUAUUGUGAUCAAAUGGUUAGGGUAGGAAGAAAUAUGCCAUUACUAAUGUACCUAUUCAGCUGAAGCUUAAGCGGCAAAGCUUUAGAUUGGUUUAUGUAUCAGGAACUAAAAAGAUUGUCUAGUUGAAGGUUAUUGGCUAAAAGCUUUCUUGAUAGGUUUGUAUUUAACAUCAAAAUUAUCCCUGACAGACACUCACUAGAUCGGAUUAAGUAGAAGAAUAAUGAGUGUUUCCGAGACUAUGCCUUCCAUUGGAUAAAAGAGGUUGCUAAGGUAAAACCUCUCAUGUCUAAAUAGGAAAUGCUGUCAUUAUUCUCUCGUGCUCAAGAGGGAGAAUUUUAUAAUAGGAUAGUAUCAGUGGCCAGGGCAACAUUCGCAUAUUUGGUAAAAUUGGGAAUCGCUAGAAGAAGACAUUUGAAUAGGGAAGAUUCUCAAAACCCCAACAUCAUCUGAGUCUUCUGUGUUUACCAAGAAAAAAAGGGAAGAUGUGACUACGAUCUCUAUUAAUUUUAUUGCUAAAUUAAAGAAGAAGAAAUUCAAGCCCAGGAACAUUCUUUCUUCUCCACUGCCCCUCAGUCUUCAAUCUGUAUUCUAUGCCCAACCCCAAUACUAAGCUCCACUUCCAAAUAUCCAAUCCCAAUACAAAGCUCCACUUCCAAAUAUCAAAUUCCAAUACCAAGCUCUAUAGCCAAAUGUCCUACCCCACUACCGAGCUCCACAACUAAAUAUUUUAACCCAAUAUCAAGUUUCAUAACCAAAUUAUUAGCCUUAUGUCCAUGCCAACCUUCCAAUCCACCAAAUGAACAUCCAAGAACCUCCAAACUAUAUUCAAGUACCUCCUCCCGCUAAUCAAAACCAUUAUAAUCUCCCUCGUCCAAACUUAGAAAAAAAACUCCUCGAAACUUCAUGCCAUUAUCUGAGUGUCGUACCUAACUCUUCGGAAGAUUAAAAGCAACCGGUUAUUUACACCCUAUCCAACAAAAACAUACCAAUCUUAAUUCUUAAUUUUUUUAUACCAAUCAAAGUUUCGUCUAUUAUUCAGGAGCGACUGAGUACAAUAUCAAAAAUUAUGUUUACCUUAAACAUAAGAUCUAAGACUUGAUCAAAAGGUUAUUAACCACCCAUCACCUAUGUUAGAUAUUGACAUAUCCAUUUACUAAUCAUGGGGGAGCCAUGGUUAACAUGAUCAAAAAAGAAGGCGGAUGUGUGUCUAACAAGGCUAUUACUAAGAUGGAUUCAGAAAAGUCCAAAAUAAUAGAAGGAGUGGAGAAGAAAGAGAAAGCCAUGCACACUUUUAAGUGUUAAUGAAAGACCCCCAUUUGUAGUGAUGACUGCCCUAACUCAAGUGUAUAUUCUACCACCACCUAGAAAAGACUUUAUUGUAGAGACUGUUGCUACUCAAGAGAUGACAUGAUCUAAACGAUACUAUAUUCCUGAAGAUUUGAAAAAUAGGAAGGAUUCACAGAAAAGGCCAAUUACUGAAGGGGAGGCUAAAGAAUUUUGGAGGCGUAUGCAGCCAAAGGAGUAUUAAAUUACUAAGAAUUUAGAAAAAAAUCCAACCCAGAUUUCUAUUUAGGCACUAUUAAUGAGUUCACAAUACCACCGAUAAGCUUUAUUGAAGUCCUAGAUGAAGCAUAUGUUCUCCCAGGCACGAGUGUUGAAAAUAUGGCUACAAUGAUAAGGAAUAUUAUGGGAAGUCACUACAUAUCGUGACUUUAUGAUUAAUCAGGUAUUGAUAGAUGACAGAUCUGAUUUGAAUAUUUAUCCUCUUUCUACAUUGGAUCAAAUGGGCUAUGACUUGGGAAAGGUUCGCUAAAGCCAUGGUAAUAUGCGAGCUUUUGAUGGAGGAAAAAGAGAUACUAUAGGUGAAAUUAACUUUUACAUCUAGAUGGGACCUGUUGAAUUCAAUGCUAAAUUUUAUGUUACUAUUCAUCCUAGUUACAAUCUACUUCUGGGGAGGUCGUGGAUUCAUGGUGCAAAAGCAGUUUUGUCAACUCUUCAUCAAUUAUUGAAGUUUAUUUGGGAAAACCAUGAGGUAGUCAUUCAAAGAGAAGGAAGCCAUUUAAGUCAUCCCAACGGUUAUGUGCCUGUGAUUGAAUAUAUUCAAAGGGGUAGUAGUUUUUAUACGGUUGAAAUUGUAAAUGCUGCAGAGAAUGAUCUGGCACCCCAAAUGCCUAUGCCCUCCAUAUAUAAGAUGAUGGCGUCUGUGAUGUUAAGAAGUGGGUUCAAGCCAAGUCAGGGCUUAGAAAAGAAUUUAGAAGGAAUCAUUGAGCCGAUCGUGAUCCCCAAAAACUCAUUUAGAUAUGGGUUAGGGUACCAACCAACAAAGAAAGAUGAGAAUGAAGAUAAGUCAAAGAUGGGUCUACCCAAGCUAUUGCCACUCUUGUACUAGUUAUUUCCUGUAUGUGAGGUGUCAAUAGAUGAUGGUCUUGGGGAUGGAAUUGGAAAUCUGUUUGAAGAAUUCAAUGCCAUAUGAGAAGAUUUUUGAGAGGCUAGUGGGGUGAGGAGGGUUGCACUAGGAGACUUUGCAGAAUUGGACCUCCACUCCACUCAUGAAUCGUCGCCCGUUGUGGCAAAUAAAAAUGACAAAUACUAGUAAUUUUAAAAAUUGGUGAUGAUCCGGAGGAGGCCCCACGAUCCACCCUGUUUACGUCUCAUAUCUCUUUUUUUGUAUUUUUACUAUUUUAAAAAAGGCAUGGGCUCAUACUUGUACAAGUCAUAAGCCAUAGUUUGUAAAUAUUUCCUGAAUUUUAAUGAAAAGGCCUCACUUUAUCUAAAAAGUUAUUUUGAAGUAUGAUCAUAUUUAUUUUACUAUUUUGUUAUCAUUUGACUUGGUUUGUUUGUCUAUUUUAGUAACAAUAAUUUAAACCUGCCAAUGUCAUGUCAUGUCAAAGGCUAAAUGCACAAAGCAGGGUGAGUAAUGAUGAAUUGAAAGACUAUGAUGAGGAGCAGUUAGUGGAAUAUAUAGAAGAAUUUAAAAAUUAGGAGAAGCCCAACCUGGAGGAAAAUAAAAUAGUCAACAUGGGAGACCACAGUGAAGUCAAGAAAACAAGAGUUAGUGUUCACCUAAUAGGGGCACAGAAAAGAGAACUCAUCCACUUGCUAUGGGAAUACAUUGACAUAUUUGUUUUUUUCUACGAUGAUAUGAAUGGGAAUACAUUGACAUAUUCAUUUGAUAAACAACUCUUGUUCCUUGUUUCUUGUCACACUUAUGUGGAUAGAUAAGUUAGCUCUUUCUUGAAAGGUUGUUCGAGUGAAAGAGAUGUGAGGUGCUUAAGUUGUUUGUUCUUACCAUCAUAUGAUCUUGUUCUUGGUAGCACUUUAAGUGAUCAUAACUCUUUUCAUUCUAUUUUCUUCAUUUGUAAGCAUAAUUAUGUUGGUGCUAAGUAUGUCUUGUGUGUAAACAUGGUUUCUUGUGAAUGGAAGGGUAAUCUACACCAUAAUGACUCCUUGAUUCUAUCCUUAGUUGUUCCAAAAUGUGAUGAUUCUUUUGGUAACAUGGUUAAUGGAACUAACUGAGGAGAAUUUGUUGAUCCUUAUCAUAGCCAACUCUUUUGCACUUUAAAUGUUGGCUUCCCUUCUAUUGUCUUGAAAGAUAUUUGGUUAUAUGUGAAAUAGGUGUCUCCUUGGCAUGGAUGUUUUUAUUUUAACCCAUGUGCUAACCUUCGUGCCUCGAGAAAAUGUUGGUUGUGUUUUCUUCUCUUAUGUUUAAAGGUUGUAGAUUUGAGGACGAAUCUUCUUCAAGAAGGACUGGAUGAUGCAAUCCAAAUGGCCUCCAGAUUGCUAGAGAAGAUGAUACACUUGAUGACUUCUUGUUGGCUAUCAAAAGGCAUCCAUUAGAUGAUUAUGAUUAUCAAGGAGGCUCAAGGGACGUUAGAGAGGCCAAUGGAAGACAAAACGGGGAUAAAAAGCCCCCAAGAAGAUGAAAUGAGCCCCAUCCGUUUUGAAGGUGCGCCUAACCCACUCUAGAUCUACUAGAGCAGGUUAAAACAGCCCACUACACCUUGGGGAUAUGCCCCAUAUUCUCAAUCAUGUGCCUAAUGGGUUUCUAUGUGUUUGUCUUUCUUAAAUGGGUCACUUUUUGGCCCAUAUGAUGUAAUAACUUAGCCUAGGCUAUAAAUAGGACUUCUCUUUCAUUUAGUAGAUAGAUUAUUGAUGAAUUAUGAAUAUGAACACUUGUGAGAGUGUGAGGCAAGUGUGGCAUCGCUUUUAUUGAUACUUUAUUUAGAAAUGGGAUUGCUUGGGAAUCGAUUCCCUUGAGGUCUACGUGCGAUUUAGGUGCUUUGUUUGAAAUAUUGAUUAAGAGUUUAGGGUUUGAGAUACCCUUUAUUUGCUUUCAAUUCCUUUCAUUGCAUCUAUCUUACUACUUUUUCAUUCUAUUUUUAUCUUUCUAUUCGUAUCUUAGUUGUAGUUUUCGAUUCCAUAGUUAGUUCGUGUAUCAGUUUGCCCAGGGUUACUUGCAUCCACCCUACCCAAAGGGAGGGGGCAGUUGUUGACACUUAAUUUUUGCCCUCCACGACUAAGUUUAAUUUUGAGUUUCUUUGAUUUUAAAUAAAAUUAUAACAUUUAUUUUAUUCUGAUAAAAACUUUUCAAAGUAUUUAUUUGAGUAAUUUUUUCAUUUUAAGUAACGAUUAUAUAUAUUUUUUUGUAAUCGCACAUACAAAAUCAUAUAAUUUCGUUAUUUAAAUGAUUGUUUUACGAAAAAAUAAACUUUAACAAAGGAUUAUCUUGAAAAUUGAUUCAAAUGGUUAAAAUCUUGAUCUAAAUAUAAUUUACUCUCAAAAAUAAAUUAUUUGAAAAAAUAUUUGCUUGAUUUGAUUGAAUCAAGAAGCUUGGGAUUGAAUUGAUUGUUAAUUUAUUUCAAAUGUUGUUUUAAUUUAUUCAAUUCAUUAAAUUAGACCUUAAUUGAAAUAAAUUCAACCAUAAUUGCAAUGCAAUUGAUUGAUUGAAUUUUAAUUAGUGUACGAUUUAAAUAGAAUCAUCUAAAUUUUUAUUUGUGGGCCAUUUAAUAAUUUUCUUUUCCCUAAUUAAAAACCACACCCCUUUUCAAUUAAUGAACCUGACUUAGGCCCAACAUAAUUUCAGCACCAGCAGCCCAACAUCAACUGCACCUAACCCGAUCCACAUUUCUCCUUUACCCAUUCCAGCUACAACACCACAAUAGACCAACCCAACAAUUUCAGACCACAAGAUCCGCCAACCCCAGCCAAACCAGCCCCUCUAACCCGGCCCACAUCACUUUUCUCUCUUCCUUAACCCCAACACAAUCAAAACAACCCAGCGUACAACAACCAAAACAACUUCAAUGAAAAUACCAACGUACAACAACAAUUUCAGCGAUAUCAAUGGUUCAGCCAAUGCCGACCCGGGCUCUGACCUAAAUUCAGUCGCGAAACCCAUCUAUUCUCUUUCCUCCUUUUGAUUUGUACAUGUCACUUGACCCUCCACAUGGAUUUUUAUGGUCGAAGGAACUUGAAUCUUCUAGAAUCGACAAGGUGGCCUCCCAACAUUCAAUUUUUUUCUUUUUAGAAUAGAGUGGUAUGAAUUAGUACGUUUGUGUGCGAAUUGCAUUGGUUUUGGGGGAAUUUACCUUUUCCCCAAUUUUUAUUGGUUUAACCCAAUUUCAAAAUUCUUCAGAGAGUCCAAAAUCAUUAGAUUGAGGAAAAAUCUUGUUAUCAUCCAAAAUUUUGAAAAUAUUUCAGUUAAAAAAUUUUGAAAUUACCUUCGUUUUCCCUUUUUCCCACAUUGUUUGAAGCCCAAAAUUUAAUCCCCAAUUCCUUAUAAAAAAGGUUCUCUUUAGAGAAAAUAUGGGCUACGUACGGAAGGUGCAAAAAGCUUUAGAGAGAAAAAAGUUUCAUUUUCUAGUUAAAAAAAAAUCGUGAAAAGUCGUCGAUUCCUUGAUGUUCUCGAAGUCGUAGCGAAGCUUUUUGAUAGUGGUCGAUAUUUUGUCGGAGGCUCAAGUUUCGCUUUGUUGCUCUAAAACAGGUAAUACUUCGUCUCUUUUAGUUUCAAUAUUUUCUUCUUCUAGUCGAUUUGUCAGUGUUUUACUCUUAUAAUCAUGUUUUUAGUAGCUGUACAAAUGCUAGAAAUUAUUAUAUGUAGAAGGCUUUGAAAGCCAUUAGAUUUUUGUGUAUUGUGAUGUUAUGUCGGGCUUAGUAUGAUUACUGUAAAUAUUGGACUCACUGUUCAACUUAGCAUUUCGUUAGUCUGUUAAUCUAAUGUUGGUUAAGUUGUUUUAAGCUACAAUUAGGCUCUUUUGAACAUGUUUUCUUUAUCAUACUAGUGCAACUUAGCUUUUCUUGGAAACCAUCUUGUGUUCCCUCUUGAAUUCAUUGCAUAUUUGAUGUGUUCUACCUAUGAUUGCUGUCGAUUUCAUGAUAAGAUUAUUUAUAUUCUUUAUUCAUACGUUAGUAUAGCUUCUUUUAAGUACACAUACUUACGAACAUGAACAAGGCUAUAUUUUAUUCCUAAAUGGUGUCGAAAAUUCUCCAUUACUUACCUCAACAUGUGUUGUUUUUGGGGUAUUUUUGGACCAUUGUAAGCUGGAAUCUCCUAAUUAAGUCAAGCAUUUUCUUUAACGUUCUGUUUAUUUAGGCAAUAUCAUGUUUUUGUUUUCUUUGUUUAAUUCUUAGCCCGCUUACAGUAACUUGAUUGUGUUUUAGCUUUGCCUUACAACCAUUAUUUCCCAUGUCAAGAUUUGUUUUACUGUUGUGAGUAUAAUGAAAAGCUAGGCAUGUCAUUAUCUUUUUUGUGAAAAUUUGUUCUUUUCUUUCAUGAAAAUGUUCAGACUUUCCAAUUGCUAUAAGUUUUGACUGCUGCUUUCAUUAUUAUUUUCCUUAUAUUUUGGUUUCAAAAUACUUGUUUUGAUAAAAUUGGAUGCUAUAUAGCCUUGUAUUUUCUUUUGGCUUCCCAGCUAGUAGUUAUAAUCUUGUCCACAUUUUAAUCAUAUUCCUUUCUUGGUGUAAUCUUGAAUGAGAUUAUGUGUUGUUUUGAUUAGUUGACAAUGAAGUAAUAACAUUUUGAUCAUGAAAUCGUUCAAAUGAGUUCGCAAAGUGUUUAUAUCCCAUCUAUAUUUUCAUUAAUUGAAUGAUUUGGUUAUCAAAUAUAUAUUACUAUCUUUCAAAUGCAAAGAAAUCUCAUAUCAAGACACUACGUGUUUAGCGUGUUGCUUAAUAAUUUGACUAUCUGGAGGCAUAUCCUCAUUUCAUUUUUAUUAUUAAUUUUCUUUAUAUUUUCCUUCUUUCUCUGGUUGAUUAUGUGUUAACUUACUUUGCUUUUUCUUCCCUUAUUUCUUUUGUUGAUCAUGUAUUAACGUUCUUUAUUUUUCUUGCUUUGCAUGAAAAUUCCUUGAGAGUCCAAACGGACUCUUUACCCUUUGCAUUUCAUGAUGGGCCAAUAAGGCCCAUCUAUUGACUCAACCCCUUCAAUUGUUUCAAGUCAAAUUGAUUUUUGGAGGAAGAAGUUGUCGCCAAUGGAAGAAAAUGGGUUCAAAACCCAUUGAUCAAGUUGCGAAGAUUUGGAGACUAGAAAAGUCUUGAUUCUUUUGUUAUUAUUGUAUUUUUAUUUAUCUAUUUGUUUAUUCAUUCAUUUUGGGGCCUCGAAACCAAAUUUGUAAAUUAAUACAAGUGAAGUGGAUUUUUGGGCCUUCAAGCCCAAAUUAGCUUAGGACAGAUUUUCGUGGGUUUGGGCCUAAAAGUCUAAAUCUCGUAAUUUUUCCUUUCCCUUUUUUAUGUUAAUUUACUAUUUGUUCCUUCGAACCUAACUAAAUUCCCUACUAAGUCACCAAAUUGAUUUUGCACAAGUUUUCUUCUUUCUUAAUCACUUUCUUUUCAAAACUCAACUUCUUUUUUUCAAAGCUAGUCAAAGAUGAUUUUCAAAUAGUCUGAAUAACCACAAGUUAGCGGAUGUUUUAGGUGCCUUAAAAUCUUCCUAAAACAUUAAUAAGAACCUCUUACCUGGGAUUUUCUUGAAAAGUCUAGGUUUUUUUCUGUUUUAAGACUUAGAAUUUUCUUCAAAAAGUUUUCUUAAUUUCUUUUCAUAUAAAUUAAGUGGUGACUCUGUAAUUUCUUGUUUCAAAAUUUUCUUUAAAGUUUCGAAAUGGUUUAAAUAAUCAAAAAAGGAUAAAACAAGAUCAACCCGAGUAUCCAACUCAUCCUGAAAAGUCUUUCAAAUGUGAGAUGUGAACACAAAACCUUGAUCUAAAAUGAUAGAUACUAGGACAACAUGUAGCUGCACAAUUUCACGAAUGUAGAUAUGAGUUAACCUCUCAGCACUGAAAGAGACCUACACCAGAAUGAAAUGAGUGUCGUACUUUAUUUCGAACCGGUCGAAACAGCACACGACAUAUGGUGGCCUGUGUCGUGACACUUGGGAUUUGAAAAUUUAUUUUUUAGAGCCGCCACCUAAUUUUUUAGAAAAAUUAGGAAAAACUCAUUUUUUAUGUCGAAAUCUCUGUUUUGGUCUUUUGAAAAUAUUUAGAGUUCUGAGUAAGGGUUUUGGUUACUCGAGGGGAAGGUGUUAGGCACCCCUCAGAGUUUAUCCGAGGAUAGUCCUUAUGCUUAGUUUAGGAAGUCAUUGCUUUUAUUUAUUUGCGAAAAUUGUGAUAAGAAAACUUUCAUCAUUAUUUUCUAGUGAUAAGAAAACUUUCAUCAUUAUUUUCUACUUGUUAUUUUAUAUAAAAGAUAGAAAACUGAAGGUAUAAUACACGUGAUGCUACCAUGUACAAGGAAAUAAUGCAAUCAUCGCAUAUGUAUAUAUGUUACAUGGAUAUUUUAAGAUAUGAAAAAUAGCUUUUUAUUUUUUAUGAUUCGGAUAAUAAAGGGAAAAUUUAUUAUCCUUACAUGUAUAAAAUUGAAUAGGUAAAUAAAAUUUAUAAAAAUACUUUAAGGCAUGGAAUAAUUUAAGACAAAACACGAAUAUGGAUAUAUUUGAAAGUACGAAAAAAAAUUUACUUAAUUUGUGAAACUUAAAUAGAUUUAGAUUAGAAAUAAGCGAAAAGAUAAAUGUGAUAAUAUGAUACAUAAGCGUAAGAAGCUUGAGAUAAUGAUAAUAACAACAACAACAACAACAAUAAUAAUAAUAAUAAUAAUAAUAAUAAUAAUUGAAAUAGUAACAAAUAUUAUAGUGUAAAUAAUAAUGGUAAUAAUAAAUAUGAUGUAAAAUAGUAGUUGUGAAAAUAAUAUGAUGUACCUUGUACGUGGUAGCGAAAGAAUAUAUAACCUUGCGUAAUCUCUUGAGAAUCCGAAAACCCAAACGAACAUAGAAACAUAAAAUAGCUUGAACGUUAGUGUUACGUAAAAAAAAAAGAGUUAAAGUUGAUGAAUGAACUCUUUUAGAAAAAUCUGAAAUUUUGAUAACUUUCUUGAGUAAGUUAAAACUAAAAUUUUAUUUAUUUUUAAAAAAUAUGAAGGUUGCUAAUCUUAUUUAGGAUAUCGGUAAUAAGUUUUCAAAGAGUUAACCGAUUAUGGUAAAAAAAAAAAAAUGCUUGGUGAUAGCCACGUGUUAUUUGUGAAAGUCGGAGUGUUAAAACUACUUUUAAAGGGUCGACAAAUAACAAGAUAACAUAAAUUUAAUAAUUAAGAAAAGUUUUUUAAAAAAUUCAAUAACAAAAGUUAGUAUCAUUCUAAAACUCAACAUGACAAGUAUAAAUUAAAUUCAAAGGAGAUAAGAGAUACUAAACUCCUUUAGGAGUUUGGGCUUCUAAUUUGCGCGACUCCGAAGCUCUGCGAUCCUAGUAGCGUUUGACCCGAUACUUGGGUCAAAAAAUGAGUUUCGUUGGAAUUCCCAACUCCCGAGUUCACAUGAAAAAUAAAAAUAUAAGGAUUAAUUGCCGAACAAGUAUAAGAAUUAAAGAAAAUACAGAUUACAUGUAUAUUGAAUUUAAACCUCUACUCACCAAUCAUACCAACACAUGACUACACCCAUUAACUAAUUAUAGCGGGAUAAGACUAAACUAUUUACGAUAGACUUCAUUUCUUAAAUGUAAUUAGCAUGCAUAUUGAAGUCAUCCAGACUUAUUCAAAAGGGCUCAAGGAAAUAGAUGGGAUAACAACCAACAAAGCUUCUGGAAACUUGAAUUGAAUGACAACCAACAUAUUCUACACCUAUUAUUAAACAUUCCCAAUUAAAAGAAAAGCCAAAUCUCUAAAACUUUGCAACUUGAGGCGUAAUCAGUUUCACUUGGGAAAGACUUUCUUUCAAUUUUCAUUAUCCGAGUGAUAAUGAAGGCACUACAAAUGUUUAAAAUAUACUACACACGGACCAGAUUUGACCAUCCAAAUAACAAUUUUCUUUUAUAACUUGAAACAACUCCUCGAUGAAAGAAAGAAAAGAAUGGAGCAAGGAUUCGAGAAUUAACAGUGUAUUUAGGAAUCAUUUAAUUAGGCUUCAGUCAAAACUUUUUAGGCAAUGCUCGGGACAAAAUUAUCCUAUCGAAAUUGACUCGGAAUUUAAAGAAAAUGACACCACAGUAAACCCAAAACAAAGCAACUUUCAAAUUUACCAAAAUCCAACAAUAUCAAUAGGAGUAAGUUAAAAUAAAGCGUGAUAGAGGCUUGUCUCUAUGUUGGCAUUUGAAUUUCGUUAGCCAAAGAUUUUCUUACCUUUCAACUAACCAAGUAAAAGCCAAUCAACUUUAACAUCCAUAAAACAUAAAAAAAAUUUGCAACCCACGACCAUGUACUAGACUUAAAAUAGGAAGAUUAACCUAUACCAUGAAAUAAUGAGAAUGGAGCAUCAAGGAUGAGAAUAAAACAAAACAAAGCUAACCCAUGUCACUGAGCAACGGAAACAAAACAAAGUGCCUAGAUGCCAAACUUAUCAAAAUUCUAAUUGAUUUGCAUGUUUUGAAAAGCUAUCAGAACAAACAUAUCAAAAUUUAUGCGAUGCUUAAGGUGUUCGUCUUAAAAUGUUCCUAGCAGCCCAUCGGAGUAGACAGAUAUAUUUUCGACUAGUAGCGUGAGCACGCAAGGGAGUCAAACAAACUAAAAAAACUUUUCAAAACUCCAAAUAAAAGAUGAUGAAAUAUUUUUAUUUAUUCAAGAAUGGAAGAAAGAGCACAUCCAUAUUAACUUGGUGAUUGAAACAUAGCCAUUAAGGAUGUUACCAGGAAAGCUAGUGAUUGAAGUCUCAAACCUUAUGCAAAUCUUACUCAAAGUGAGUCGUUAGCCAUAAAUAACCAGAAAUUUUAACACCAAAAAACCGAAGAAUAUGAAUUCUUUUUUUUUGACGCCAAACAACUAGAGGCUAUCUUUCUUAUUUCAUGUUUCCACAUUUUAUGUCCAAAUGCCGAAUGAGAUUACAAAAAGAGAAUCAAAAUUUUACUUCUUUCCUUACAAAGGCAAAAGGAAGUGUUAACAAAUUUUAACAUUGAAGCCAGAUCACAUACUUCCAUUGACAACAGAGUGGUCCUAUUACUCAUGGACUUAUUUUUCUUCUUUUCCAUAAACAAACUCCUGAAAAUUCUUGCAAAAAACUUACAUAAAUCCUAACGAGUUUAUCCCGAAUUAGUAAUUACUCCAUAUAUCUAUUACAAAUAAUUCCUUAUUUUAUACUUUUGGACAAAUAAUUAGCAGCCUCAAGAUUAACAAAUCAUGCCCUAGACUUAAUUUCACCGGAAAACGAACAAACAAUGCCAACAGGAGCUCGACACCCCAACAAAUACAUUUUAAUACUAACCUAAUCGGAAAUCACGCAUCCAUCCAUUCCCAAAGGACAUCGACGAAAACAAACUUGACCAAUAUUCAUACGCAGAUUCAACGUCCAAAACUCACUAAUAGUUUCAAACCUCAAUCCGACUUUACCUACAGACCCACUUACGACCAAAAUAGUUUAAUCCACAAACCAACACAAGUCUACAAUAAUAUCAGGUAGAUCACCAUCAUAUGUUCAAAGAUCGAAAAAGGAUAACGAGAUGGGAAACGGAUAAAAAGGAAAAGAUUUGUACCUUGUGUGGGGCAGCAAAACUGAGGCUUUCCGUCAAGUUUUCCUAUGGCCACGACUCAAUUCCGACACUCGAACUCGGACCAAGAAAAAUAAGAGAAUAUUAACCAGUAAUGAAAACUUGAAUGCUUAAUCAGUAUAGUGGGAGAUCGAGACCUGACCAUCUUUUCCCCAUGAGAAAGAUGAGGCCACCCUUUAUAGGUGUAAAUUCGGACUUGAAGGUCCGGAUUUGAAAACCAAAAAAUAAAAAAACGGAAAGAUUUUGAAAUUUGAAUCAUAAAUCUCCUUUAAAUCAACAUCAAAUCAAAGACCCAUAGUUCCUUUUUGAGGUCUGUUCAAUUCAAAUUUCCAAUUCAUGGAGAACAAUGGGGAGAGAGGGUCACUGUUUUGGGAACAUCAGUGCUUUGGGUAGCAAGAAGAUGCGUGAUUUUGGUCUUUCGGAAAACAAAAAAGGUCGGUUGUUGUUUAUCUGAAACAAAGAAAAAGACCAUUUGAUAUAAGAAUAAAAGAAAUAAUAAGUUUAUAUAUAUAUUCAAAAAUUUUG